GACGAACGCUGGCGGCGUGCUUAACACAUGCAAGUCGAACGGAAAGGCCCUGCCUUUGUGGGCUGCUCGACUUGCGAACGGGGGAGUAACACGUGAGUAACCAGCCCUUCACUUAGGGAGAACCUCAGGAAAGUGGGGCUAAUACCGGCUAGGAGCUAUCGCUGCUGGGUGGGGGUGGGAUAGUUUAGGCGGUUGGGGUUGGAAUAGCGGCUUAUCAGCUUGUUGGUGGGGUAGUGGCUGACCAUGGCUAUGACGGGUAGCCGGCCUGGGAGGGUGACAGGCCACAUUGGGACUGGGAUGCGACCCGGCCUCGAACGGGAGGGAGGGGUGGAGAAUGGUACACAAUAGGCGGAGGGAUGGUGCAGCAACGCCGCGUGGGGGAUGACGGCCAUCGGGUAGUAAAGCACUUUCGCCUGAGACGAAGCGUGAGUGACGGUACCGGGAAAAGAAGCACCGGCUAACUACGUG
This 468-nucleotide ribosomal RNA is filed under the name uncultured bacterium. RNAcentral's name for it is "partial 16S ribosomal RNA". It matches the Rfam family "Bacterial small subunit ribosomal RNA", at positions 28 to 507 of the family's 1533-position model. The record is from RNAcentral.